CUCAAAUUAAACAAAUUAGUUCAAUCAAAUUAACUUUUAUGAGUAUUUAGAACUUUAUUUUCUUUUGUGUUCACGAAACUGACACAUUUUAAGUAAUCUGGAUUGUUUCUCUUUUUUUUGAGUUGAAUGAACUUGUUUCUUUUAAUUUAGACAAACUUAAAUUUACCUGAAACUGGGCUGAGAUUUCUAUUUCCCAGUAUGCCAUGGCAAUCGAAAGGGAGAAUAAAUGCUAAAAUUAGGUAUUAUAUAAUGUUUUUUUUUUUUUUUGUGCAAGAUUAAUGUUAAGUGGGGUAUUUUAGUAGUGUUUAAUACUUUGCUAUCCCAAUUUACAAGAGUUUCUGUUAUGUGUUUUUUUUUUGGGAGGUUACCAUCAUGGUGACGAGUGGAGCAUGGGCUUAGUUUGAGAACAGGUAUUUCAUAAAUGUUCUAUAUUGCUGUACUCUUUCAGCAAUUGCUAUGCUAUGCUAUGCUAAUGUUAUCAAAGCAUUGUGUUACCAAUUAGCAUUUGUUGAAUUAGCUUGUUAUAGUUAGCUAAAUUUUCUCUGCUAAAAAAAAAAAAAGUUAAGAUGCUGGCCUCGUGGGCAGCGCACCGACGUAUUGCGCCAUUGCGCUACGGGCGACCCGAGUUUGAGUCCCGGCUCGCGGACCUUUCCCGAUCCUGUCCCCCUUCUCUUGCUCCCACUUUGCUUUUUGUCUGCUUACUGUCCUAUCAUAGUUAAGGCAAAAACACCAAAAAUAAAAUCUACAUAAGUUAAGAUUACAUGAUAAUUUUAAGUUUAAUGCAUAAAUUUACUUACUCAAAAAUUUAAAGUUAAGAGCAAUUAAAAUGUAGGAGUACAAAAUUGGUAUCUGCCAGUUCUGCUUACUUAAACUUUGAAUUUCUUAACUUAAAAAAAAUGAUGUAACUGAUUACCUCAAUUUUUUUGAGUUUUGCCAACUUAUUUAGGUUUACAGUGUUGACUUCCAAAAUCAUUUUUAGUCCAUACAAUGGAAGACAAUGAGACCCGAAAACAACCUUACUUUUUAUGUUUUUUAAAAAAGUAUAAAAGAUAAGAUAAAAUAAAUUCUCCAUUUAAAGGCUUAAAGCAAACCAGUGUAAAGUACAGGUUAAAGAUUCUGAAAAGAGUGAAAGAUAAGAAAGUUUUCUGCGAGAGAGAAGGCAGACGUGAGUCAGAGAGAGGGCUCUAUUUGUUCUAGGGUGCAUGAUCAAGCCUGUGCUAUUUCAGAACUCUUCAUCUCCACCUGAACUCAUAGCUCCUCUUCCACAGCAAGAAGCUUCAUUUUUUUGUUUCGUUAUCGGCCUGGGCAGGCUUCAUUCUCAUCACACAGGAGGAAGGAAUCUGAUUCGAGAAGCACAUAUUUUUUCUCCAAGCCUCAUUAAAGGGAGGGUGAAGCUACUUCACACUCCCUCUGCUGUUCACCCCUUCCGUCGCCAAAAACCCUCUCAUCUGAAAAAAUACUAGGAUGGAAGGAGAAGGAUAAGAUACGGCAGCGAUCGUGCCAGGCAGGAUGGAUCCGUCUGCCAAAAGGGGUCCAGCAUCAAAGAGACCCAUGAGGAGAACACUAACUCCUGCCAACAAAAGAUGGAGAUGGAGAAAGAGAGAGAGGGAGAUCUCUUUGAAAGUGCUUCCAGGUUCUACAUCAGAACACCGACUCAUUAUUGGCUGUCUAUGGAGGAAUCAAGCAGCUCUCGGAUUUCAUCAAAAAUAUUUUAAUUUGUGUUCAGAGGAUGAACGAAGGUCUUACGGGUGUGGAACGACAUAAGGGUGAGUAGUUAUUAAUGACAGAAUUUUCAUUUUUGGGUGAACUAACUCUUUAAGGUCUAAUUUUAAGUAUGUUUUGCAUAUUGCAUUUUGUAUGCAUGUUUUUUAUUCACUGGAAAUUUUUGGGAAGCAUGAUGACUGAACAGUAUUCCCAGGUACACAACAGUACAACCCAUUAAACAGACUGUACAUUGCAUUUUCAUUCACAUAGAAAUUAAAUAUGACAUCUAACCCUGACCAAAGUCCACUGUUAAUGAUGCAUUUUGCAUUUUUUUAGGUCCGUGUCCAGUUUCUGAGAUGCUUUUUCAUAUUUCUGAUACGGGAAAUUCAUAAGGCUUCAGAAAAUCAUAAUUCAAAGACUUGUUUCCCCCCUGGAAGCAUAAAAUCCUGAUUCAUCAAAACUAAAUGAGCUGAUCCCAGACGUCUCAUGGAUCUGAGGCAGAACUGACGGAAGAGCAAAGUUGAGGUGUGAGCGAUGCAGACAGAGUGAGAGGGAGGAAUAAUGCCAAUCAGAUCGUAAAAAUCUUGUAACCUCCUGCUGCUUCCUUCUCGCAGCUGUCAAUUUCACUUACCACCAAGAAAGAGACAGUGUAUGCGUAUGACAGGGAGCUGUUUGUACUGCCAGAUAAUUGGCCAGUAACCCCCGGGACCAUAAUGAUCAAAGAGGGACUUCUGCAGUGGUCACAAAGUUAAGGUUGUUUUCUGUUAUGAGGAGUCAAAACCCUUUCUCUGAUUCAUUCACUUGUGCUGACACCAACCACAGACCGGUGAUGGACAAUAAUUGAAUGCUCUCAGUUCAGAAAUGACACAUAGAAGCGCACAGAGAGGCCGGAGAGAGAGAGUAUAAGGGCUAUUGAUUGACUGUAUUCGCCUCCAUCUCGCUUCUGUUGUCCACUUCCUUUUUGUUCGGCUGUAGUGAUCAUCCUUCCCCUCUAUCUCUUUCUCUGCGGGCAUGUUUUGCUCAUUUAACUUCAUUACAGUGGCUGACAGCCAGAAAGUCAACAAAACAGCGCACAGCCUGGUAUGAUCACCUGCAGACCCCCGUCCCUCCUCCCACGGGCUCAUCUCGGCCCCUCCUGGGUUAUUCAGGCCCGUUUCCCUGCAGUCCAUUGCUCAAUUGCAUUGAUAACAGUCUGACAGGCCACAGCAGAAGCCAGGAAACAUUGUCCCUCCUUCUCUCCGGCAAACCCGUUCAGCAAGGUCACCGAUCCCCAACUGACAGCCAAACUGCCAGCUACAAACUGCCUCCAAAUGAAAGAAUUUCUCUGAAGUGUCGAGCAUGCCUGUCUGCCAGCCUCUUUCUGAAAGGAGGAAAGGAAGCAGGCCACCGCGGAGAAAAAGUCCAGGCAUCCUUCCAGCAGAAUUCAGUAUCAACAAAGCAACAUUUCUACCCUCAUAAAGAACCUCCCUGAGUCAACAUUUGCACAAAACUGAACGUCCGAUCCAUACGUACCCGCGGGACUAGGGUGAAUGUCAACGUUAUGGUUAUGAGUUAUUUAUAAGAUCACAUAAUACCUUAUUCAUUAAACAUGAAGUCGUCAAUCUGGAAUGAGGAAUUGAGAAACUGCAGUUCCAUAUUAAGGCCCUGACAUAAACCAUACGCUGAGUGAUUUACACCUCAGCAGGUUUACAAAUAGAUGGACUAGGGCAUGCUGGGAUUGAGGACUGCAUUUUUCGAAGGUAUUUUCAGAUGUUUUUGUUUAGCUGUAUUAAAAAUGCAUGAAAAACUUGAGGAGCGGCUUUAAGACUUGUUUCGUGACUGAGAAGUUGCCGUUUUUAAAUUUAGAGAUGCUGUUACUGCAGGUCUCACUUUUAGACUAUGGGAUGAAUUCAUAGCCGUCUGUUCAGUCAUCAAAUAUUUAUUUUAUAUUUGCUGUAAGGGUCACAAUGGAAGCAAAAUGGUAUGUUUAAUAACAAUGUUUUAUAAUGUCAUCUGAUUUAGUUAAUAUGUGCAUGCAGCACAUAACUGUAUGAAUUUGGCAGUUAGUAUUAAAGCAGUUGGUUUUGCUUCAAACUAACUAGUACUAUUUGCAGGACUGUUUCCUUGCAUGGAGCGAUCUGAGUUAGGAAAUAUG
Ctenopharyngodon idella (grass carp) is the source of this 3838-nucleotide long non-coding RNA. RefSeq lists it as uncharacterized. The transcript has 3 exons. The record is from RefSeq and is a predicted model, not a curated record. Lineage: Eukaryota; Metazoa; Chordata; Actinopteri; Cypriniformes; Xenocyprididae.